RNAcentral lists this long non-coding RNA (2727 nucleotides) under Homo sapiens (human). RNAcentral's name for it is "family with sequence similarity 27 member C". Lineage: Eukaryota; Metazoa; Chordata; Mammalia; Primates; Hominidae. The record is from RNAcentral.
AGAGCAGGAGCCCUCGGUGGCAGUGCUUGGGUGUCGAGGCUCUGAGGCUCCGGCCUCACCUCUCCACGGGGUCGAAGGGAACGUCUCCGGAUGCCAGGAGUCGCAAAGGGCCGACCAUGAUGAUGAAACCCCAGGCAGAGACGGGGGAAGCAGCACGGGAUCCCAGCCUCAGGCCUGCACGGACGGUGUUGGUUGGGAGACGAGGUCUCACUAUAUUGACCAGGCUGGUCUUGAACUCCUGGCCUUAAGCGAUCCUCCUGCCUUGGCCUCCCAAAGUGCUGGAGUUACAGAUGUGAGCCUCUGUGCUCAGUCCAUCCUUGGCUGUUCAAGUGUAGAGCCCUCAGCAACCACCACCUCGAUCAGUCACUAGCUAUCAACAUUGAGACAAGACCAUCCAGCAGCAAAAUGAUGAUGACUUACUGAAGGCCCAGAUGAUGGUUAGCAGUUUUUGGCAAUCACGUAUUUUCAAAGUCCAGUGUCUGAUUCUUUUGGGAAGCUGGAUAUGAAGUCAGAAUCUUUCUUUGAGUCAUACAUUUUCAUGAUUAUGAUUAUUAUUGAAUGAUAGCUGACAAUUAUUGAGAGCAAUUAUUGAGGACAAUUAUUGAGCUUUCACAAGCCCUUUUCAAAGGUCUUUACAUAUAUUUUCUCCACUUCUAACUGUUAGAUAUUCUUAUUAUUCCCAUUUUGUAGAUGAGGGAUACACAGGCAUAAAGCCUAUGUGGAGGCAGAGAGCAGCUACGUAACCUGACCAUGGCCCAACAGCAAACAAAUGAUGGGGCCACAUGCAAAUCCAGGCAGAAUCCUUCUAUUAUAUGAAGCUCAAUGUUUUCUUGUUUGCAGCUUGUUAUGAAUACAUCUAUUUGCAAAUGGGUUUUGAAGCUACUUUAAAACAUUUUGUGGCUGUGCGUGGUGGCUGGCACCUGUAAUCCCAGCAUUAUGGGAGACCAAGGUGGGCAGAUUGCCUGAGCUCAGGAGUUUGAGACCAACCUGGCCAACAUGGUGAAACCCUGUGCCUACUAAAAAUACAAAAAAAUUAGCCAGGUGUGUUGGUGUGCACCUGUAAUCCCAGCUACUCUGGAGGGUGAGGCAGGAGAAUCACUUGAACCCAGGAGAGGAAGGUUGCAGUAAGCUGAGAUCAUGCCACUGAACUCCAGCCUGGGCAACAGAGUGAGAUUCUGUCUCCAAAUAAAAAAUAAAUAAGAUUGAAUUUUGAGCUCCUGACCAUGUCCCUAGAUUGUACUCAUAUGUAUUUUGAUGUCUAAUAAGAUUUAUUCUCAGUGCAUUUUUUAAGUGAAAGUAUUUAUUGAGCAUCUACUGUAUAUCAUGUGCUGAAAUAGGCACCAGUGGUGCAGGGAACAUAUGGCACAGUGUCUGACCUCAGGUAACUUUCACUCUCAUACAUAUGUAUUAGGACACCAACACAUGUGUGAAUAUAAGAUAGUAUGAUAGAUAUUGCAACAAGUAAUUAUUUACUGUAAACCUAUUUUAUAGGAUUUUAAACUUAAACUACUUUCACCCUAUUUCCAAAAAAAAGUAUUGCAUAACUUUAAAUAGAUUCUCAGUUUGAAAUCAUCAUACAAACUGCAGUAGCAUCUGCUGGUGAAAUACUGCUUUGUAUCUAUUAGAAUAGUCCAAACAAUUGUGAGACAACUGCAUUAUUAGAGCUGUAAAAGUUAUUGUCUAGAAAUCUCAGAGAAGAAGAGGAAGUUCUAUGGUAGAUGAAUAAGAUGACAUCUAAACUGUUCUCUUCAGCUACUGAAGUUCUGUGGAUAUCUCACAGCACAAAGUUCAAGUGUAUGCCCACAGCUCCUCAUGCCACAAGAUGUGACACCUUUCCAAUCUCUUUUUGCAAAAGUUUCCAAUUAUGUCUCUUUUAAGAGUACUUUUUAUACCCACAUAUUCCAGAUUUUGUGGUGCACGCAAAGACAAGAUGGGAAGGGGCUUCCAUUUAUUGAUGCCAGCUGCUCCAUGGACCAGGCCCUGCCCAUGCAUCCAUGUUGGUUCUUUUAUCCCCACAUCAGCCAUAGCCCAUAAGCAUUAACUGCCAUUGCACAGAUGAGGAAAUUGAAAGUCUAAGAGAAUAUGCAAUCUACCCAGAGUCAUGCAGCUUGUGUAUGUAAGGGUUGGAAUGAAAAUCCAAUCUGUGUGAGUCCCAAGUCCCCUUCCACCAUAUGGUUUCCAUUUCAUUUUGCAAUCAGAUUGGCUGGGAUAUGUCUGCCCUAAAAGACAGUAAGUAGGAAUAUUUGUCUCUAUACCUUAACCUGACAUCCAUGGGCUUGCUUUUUGUAUUUGGAGGUGUCAUAACAUUAUAAUAAUAAUUUGAUUUUAUUUGUACAGUGGAUAUUAUACUACUCAGUCUAGAGAUUUAUGACAUCCCAGUCUAAACUGGAUGAUAGCAAUGAAGCUUCUUCAAGGAGACAAGUAUGAGUAAUAAGGUAGUAAUAAGCUGAAUUUCUAUGGAGUUGCUACUUCUGAAUUAAAACUAGUUGAGAUUAAGUAGAUAUUCAAAAAUAUUGCUAUAAUCUUCACUUGAAUAAUACAAACAUUUAUUAUUUUUACAUAUUUAUUUAUUUAUGGAACAUAGAUGUAAUUUUAAAACAAUAUUUUCAAAUUAUAUUAAAAUAUAUUAAAAACAUAAUACAUUAUCACCCAAUAGAGUUUUUCAAAGUAACUCAGUGUUAGUUUAAAAUGUGAAAUUCAAUCAACAUAAUUCACCAUAGAAUACAG